UCGCCCGCUUCCCCUCCCUGAGCGGGUUAUCCUUUUAACCCGGCCACCCUUGGCCGGGUUUUUUUU
This 66-nucleotide non-coding RNA is filed under the name Immundisolibacter cernigliae. Its description in RNAcentral is "Burkholderia RNA 7 (anti-hemB)". It matches the Rfam family "Burkholderia RNA 7 (anti-hemB)". From Rfam's summary of the family: This RNA motif was identified by computational search in b-proteobacteria Burkholderia. Co-purified with Hfq, expression confirmed by Northern blot. Putative functional homologue of SP-RydB and predicted target hemB. Lineage: Bacteria; Pseudomonadati; Pseudomonadota; Gammaproteobacteria; Immundisolibacterales; Immundisolibacteraceae. The record is from Rfam by way of RNAcentral.